Molecule: ribosomal RNA, 498 nt
Filed under: uncultured bacterium
Lineage: Bacteria
Description: partial 16S ribosomal RNA
Rfam family: Bacterial small subunit ribosomal RNA
Source: RNAcentral
GACGAACGCUGGCGGCGUGCCUAAUACAUGCAAGUCGAACGAGAGCGACCGGUGCUUGCACUGGUCAAUCUAGUGGCGAACGGGUGAGUAACACGUGGGUAACCUGCCCAUCAGAGGGGGAUAACAUCCGGAAACGGAUGCUAAAACCGCAUAGGUCUUCGAACCGCAUGGUUUGAAGAGGAAAAGAGGCGCAAGCUUCUGCUGAUGGAUGGACCCGCGGUGCAUUAGCUAGUUGGUGAGGUAACGGCUCACCAAGGCCGUGAUGCAUAGCCGACCUGAGAGGGUGAUCGGCCACAUUGGGACUGAGACACGGCCCAAACUCCUACGGGAGGCAGCAGUAGGGAAUCUUCCGCAAUGGACGCAAGUCUGACGGAGCAACGCCGCGUGAGUGAAGAAGGUUUACGGAUCGUAAAACUCUGUUGUUAGAGAAGAACAAGUGCUAGAGUAACUGUUAGCGCCUUGACGGUAUCUAACCAGAAAGCCACGGCUAACUACGUG